Molecule: ribosomal RNA, 1355 nt
Filed under: uncultured bacterium
Lineage: Bacteria
Description: bacterial SSU rRNA
Rfam family: Bacterial small subunit ribosomal RNA
Source: RNAcentral
AUUGAACGCUGGCGGCAGGCUUAACACAUGCUAGUCGAACGAUGAAACUCUAGCUUGCUAGAGAAGAUUAGUGGCGGACGGGUGAGUAACAUUUAGGAAUCUGCCUAGUAGUGGGGGAUAGCUCGGGGAAACUCCAAUUAAUACCGCAUACGACCUACGGGUGAAAGGGGGCGCAAGCUCUUGCUAUUAGAUGAGCCUAAAUCAGAUUAGCUAGUUGGUGGGGUAAAGGCCCACCAAGGCGACGAUCUGUAACUGGUCUGAGAGGAUGAUCAGUCACACCGGAACUGAGACACGGUCCGGACUCCUACGGGAGGCAGCAGUGGGGAAUAUUGGACAAUGGGGGCAACCCUGAUCCAGCCAUGCCGCGUGUGUGAAGAAGGCCUUUUGGUUGUAAAGCACUUUAAGCAGGGAGGAGAGGCUAAUGGUUAAUACCCAUUAGAUUAGACGUUACCUGCAGAAUAAGCACCGGCUAACUCUGUGCCAGCAGCCGCGGUAAUACAGAGGGUGCGAGCGUUGAUCGGAAUUACUGGGCCGUAAGCGAGUGUAGGUGGCUCAUUAAGUCACAUGUGAAAUCCCCGGGCUUAACUGGGGAACUGCAUGUGAUACUGGUGGUGCUAGAAUAUGUGAGAGGGAAGUAGAAUUCCAGGUGUAGCGGUGAAAUGCGUAGAGAUCUGGAGGAAUACCGAUGGCGAAGGCAGCUUCCUGGCAUAAUAUUGACACUGAGAUUCGAAAGCGUGGGUAGCAAACAGGAUUAGAUACCCUGGUAGUCCACGCCGUAAACGAUGUCUACUAGCCGUUGGGGUCCUUGAGACUUUAGUGGCGCAGUUAACGCGAUAAGUAGACCGCCUGGGGAGUACGGCCGCAAGGUUAAAACUCAAAUGAAUUGACGGGGGCCCGCACAAGCGGUGGAGCAUGUGGUUUAAUUCGAUGCAACGCGAAGAACCUUACCUGGUCUUGACAUAGUGAGAAUCUUUCAGAGAUGAGAGAGUGCCUUCGGGAAUUCACAUACAGGUGCUGCAUGGCUGUCGUCAGCUCGUGUCGUGAGAUGUUGGGUUAAGUCCCGCAACGAGCGCAACCCUUUUCCUCAUUUGCCAGCGGGUUAAGCCGGGAACUUUAAGGAUACUGCCAGUGACAAACUGGAGGAAGGCGGGGACGACGUCAAGUCAUCAUGGCCCUUACGACCAGGGCUACACACGUGCUACAAUGGUAGGUACAGAGGGUUGCUACACAGCGAUGUGAUGCUAAUCUCAAAAAGCCUAUCGUAGUCCGGAUUGGAGUCUGCAACUCGACUCCAUGAAGUCGGAAUCGCUAGUAAUCGCAGAUCAGAAUGCUGCGGUGAAUACGUUCCCGGGCCU